GCAGACAUAGUUUAACACAAAACACUAGAUUGUGGUUCUAGAAAUAGGGGUUGAACCCCCCUAGUCCGCC
RNAcentral lists this transfer RNA (70 nucleotides) under Noturus baileyi (smoky madtom). RNAcentral describes it as "tRNA-His". It matches the Rfam family "tRNA". Rfam says of the family: Transfer RNA (tRNA) molecules are approximately 80 nucleotides in length. The record is from RNAcentral. Lineage: Eukaryota; Metazoa; Chordata; Actinopteri; Siluriformes; Ictaluridae.